Molecule: long non-coding RNA, 392 nt
Filed under: Callithrix jacchus (white-tufted-ear marmoset)
Lineage: Eukaryota; Metazoa; Chordata; Mammalia; Primates; Cebidae
Description: lncRNA (ENSCJAG00000056161.2)
Source: RNAcentral
UGGAGAUAAUGAGCCCGGACUUCCUGGGGCUGCUGGAGGUUUAAUUGGUUCACGGCGGCUAAGUGGUUGGCGAUCGUGGCCUGGAAUUCCGGCCAACGCUGCUCCCUCCACAAGGCCAUACAGACAGCAGGCAGUGAGCUGGUUUUGGCUCGAAGACAGUUUUUGCAGCCUCGGCUCUAGAUCAGUGGCUUGUGGACUCUUUUGACCAUGACUGACAGAUCCAGGGUAGUUACCUGUCUAUGAUGAAACCUUCCGGAGGACUGCUCAAUCCUUUGCUCCCACCGCAGUGAGGAAGAUGGAGGACUAGACAAACAGGAGGACGGGUCAUAUGGCCAGCUAAACAUUCGAAUAGCCAUGGUGAACAGCUGAUGUAUAUAAAGCAAGAAUUAGAG